UAGUGUAAUACAAGUGGUGCAGAAUUUGUUUUGGCCGAUGUGGGACUAAACAAAUGUGGCGAGAUUAUGCUUUGAAGGCUUGUGGCGGUCAUCAUGUUCUUGUGGUGGUCAUCACGUUCUUGUUUAGCUUAAUAGAUAAGAAUUAGCUAGCUUAGUUAUUAAGAAUGUAAGCCUAUAAAAAGGCAUGGUCAUCCAUUGUUAUAUCAUCAUCAAGUUUGAAUCAAAUAUAGUAGCAAGUUAAAUAUUCUUCCUCCGUUCUUUCUUGUUUAAAUUUUCUUGUUUAUGUCCCACUGAUGCUCAUUUGUGCUGCACUUGUGUGGCUCAUUUGGGUUGCACUUGUGUGGUCCUUUUUGCUCCAUUUUUCUUUGUUUUUAUCAAUGUGUCCUUUUUAGUAUGUUCCGGUGCAAGUGACUGAAAAACAUAAAAAUACCAAAGUAAUAUGACGAAAAUGUAGAAAUAAAUAAUAAAAACAUAGGCUAAUAAAUUAACUAAAUAAAUAGUACAUUUUCCGGUGUAUCAAACUCCCCUAAACUUGAACCAUUGCUUGUCCUCAAGCAAUUUAGCUUGCAUAUAGAAAACAUUUGAAAUGCGGAGCAACUCACACACACAGACUCAGAGAAAAAUAACAUCACAAGUACUCAUACGUGGUCAGAAAUUCAGAUCGGCUAAGAUUAAUUAGUUAGGUUCUUACACAAUCAAGAAGGGCAUUUCAACGACACACAAAGUUCUCCCUCUUAUACAUAUCGAAUUUGGAUCAUGCCGUUGUACUAAAAUCUAAAUCUUCUCCUUUGUUUCAUCCUUUUUCAUUCUAGACAGUCACAUUAAGACCCUUUAUCUAUGUCACACACAUGGUAAGAAAGUCGGUUAGCGUCUUUAUUCAUCUUUUUCAACUCGCAAUUUUAGCUCGAUGAUGCAAUAUUUUUG
This 924-nucleotide long non-coding RNA is filed under the name Trifolium pratense (red clover). RNAcentral describes it as "long non-coding RNA (TPRA_LNC002567)". The record is from RNAcentral. Lineage: Eukaryota; Viridiplantae; Streptophyta; Magnoliopsida; Fabales; Fabaceae.